Molecule: ribosomal RNA, 499 nt
Filed under: uncultured bacterium
Lineage: Bacteria
Description: partial 16S ribosomal RNA
Rfam family: Bacterial small subunit ribosomal RNA
Source: RNAcentral
AUUGAACGCUGGCGGAAUGCUUUACACAUGCAAGUCGAGCGGCAGCGCGGGGCAACCUGGCGGCGAGCGGCGAACGGGUGAGUAAUGCAUCGGAACGUGUCCAUGUCGUGGGGGAUAGCCCGGCGAAAGCCGGAUUAAUACCGCAUACGCCCGAGAGGGGAAAGUGGGGGACCGCAAGGCCUCACGCGAUUGGGUCGGCCGAUGUCCGGUUAGCUAGUUGGCGGGGUAAAGGCCCACCAAGGCGAUGAGCGGUAGCUGGUCUGAGAGGAUGAUCAGCCACACUGGGACUGAGACACGGCCCAGACUCCUACGGGAGGCAGCAGUGGGGAAUUUUGGACAAUGGGGGCAACCCUGAUCCAGCCAUUCCGCGUGAGUGAAGAAGGCCUUCGGGUUGUAAAGCUCUUUUGUCCGGAACGAAACGGAUGACGUGAAUAUCGUCGUCUACUGACGGUACCGGAAGAAUAAGCACCGGCUAACUACGUGCCAGCAGCCGCGGUAA